This 253-nucleotide ribosomal RNA is filed under the name uncultured bacterium. RNAcentral describes it as "partial 16S ribosomal RNA". It matches the Rfam family "Bacterial small subunit ribosomal RNA", at positions 524 to 776 of the family's 1533-position model. The record is from RNAcentral.
UACGUAGGGUGCGAGCGUUGUCCGGAAUUAUUGGGCGUAAAGGGCGCGUAGGCGGCCAUUCAAGUCGGAGGUGAAAGCCCAGGGCUCAACCCUGGAAUUGCCUUCGAUACUGUUUGGCUCGAGACCGGAAGAGGUAAGUGGAACUGCGAGUGUAGAGGUGAAAUUCGUAGAUAUUCGCAAGAACACCAGUGGCGAAGGCGGCUUACUGGUCCGGUUCUGACGCUGAGGCGCGAAAGCAUGGGGAGCGAACAGG